This 1018-nucleotide ribosomal RNA is filed under the name uncultured bacterium. Its description in RNAcentral is "bacterial SSU rRNA". It matches the Rfam family "Bacterial small subunit ribosomal RNA", at positions 357 to 1376 of the family's 1533-position model. The record is from RNAcentral.
AGGAAUAUUGGUCAAUGGGCGCAGGCCUGAACCAGCCAAGUAGCGUGAAGGAUGACUGCCCUAUGGGUUGUAAACUUCUUUUAUAAAGGAAUAAAGUCGGGUAUGUAUACCCGUUUGCAUGUACUUUAUGAAUAAGGAUCGGCUAACUCCGUGCCAGCAGCCGCGGUAAUACGGAGGAUCCGAGCGUUAUCCGGAUUUAUUGGGUUUAAAGGGAGCGUAGAUGGAUGUUUAAGUCAGUUGUGAAAGUUUGCGGCUCAACCGUAAAAUUGCCGUUGAAACUGGGUUACUUGAGUGUGUUUGAGGUAGGCGGAAUGCGUGGUGUAGCGGUGAAAUGCAUAGAUAUCACGCAGAACUCCGAUUGCGAAGGCAGCUUACUAAACCAUAACUGACACUGAAGCACGAAAGCGUGGGGAUCAAACAGGAUUAGAUACCCUGGUAGUCCACGCAGUAAACGAUGAUUACUAGGAGUUUGCGAUACAAUGUAAGCUCUACAGCGAAAGCGUUAAGUAAUCCACCUGGGGAGUACGCCGGCAACGGUGAAACUCAAAGGAAUUGACGGGGGCCCGCACAAGCGGAGGAACAUGUGGUUUAAUUCGAUGAUACGCGAGGAACCUUACCCGGGUUUGAACGUAGUCUGACCGGAGUGGAAACACUCUUUCUAGCAAUAGCAGAUUACGAGGUGCUGCAUGGUUGUCGUCAGCUCGUGCCGUGAGGUGUCGGCUUAAGUGCCAUAACGAGCGCAACCCUUAUCACUAGUUACUAACAGGUGAAGCUGAGGACUCUGGUGAGACUGCCAGCGUAAGCUGUGAGGAAGGUGGGGAUGACGUCAAAUCAGCACGGCCCUUACAUCCGGGGCGACACACGUGUUACAAUGGCAUGGACAAAGGGCAGCUACCUGGUGACAGGAUGCUAAUCUCCAAACCAUGUCUCAGUUCGGAUCGGAGUCUGCAACUCGACUCCGUGAAGCUGGAUUCGCUAGUAAUCGCGCAUCAGCCAUGGCGCGGUGAAUACGUUCCCG